CGAACGGAAAGUGCCCAGCUUGCUGGGUGACUCGAGUGGCGAACGGGUGAGUAACACGUGGGUGAUCUGCCCUGCACUUUGGGAUAAGCCUGGGAAACUGGGUCUAAUACCGAAUACACCCUGCUGGUCGCAUGGCCUGGUGGGGGAAAGCUUUUGCGGUGUGGGAUGGCCCGCGGCCUAUCAGCUUGUUGGUGGGGUGAUGGCCUACCAAGGCGACGACGGGUAGCCGGCCUGAGAGGGUGUCCGGCCACACUGGGACUGAGAUACGGCCCAGACUCUACGGGAGGCAGCAGUGGGGAAUAUUGCACAAUGGGCGCAAGCCUGAUGCAGCGACGCCGCGUGAGGGAUGACGGCUUCGGGUUGUAAACCUCUUUCAAUAGGGACGAAGCGUGAGUGACGGUACCUAUAGAAGAAGCACCGGCCAACUACGUGCCAGCAGCCGCGGUAAUACGUAGGGUGCGAGCGUUGUCCGGAAUUACUGGCGUAARWUCUCGCUAGGSUGGUUUGUCGCGYUUGUUCGUGAAAACUACA
This 531-nucleotide ribosomal RNA is filed under the name uncultured Mycobacterium sp. RNAcentral describes it as "bacterial SSU rRNA". It matches the Rfam family "Bacterial small subunit ribosomal RNA", at positions 63 to 606 of the family's 1533-position model. The record is from RNAcentral. Lineage: Bacteria; Bacillati; Actinomycetota; Actinomycetes; Mycobacteriales; Mycobacteriaceae.